GGCUCCCAUCGACACCGGCGGGCCGGGUCAGAGCUGCUCCACAUUUCCUGGAUCCACUUCCAGUGAAGACGACCAAGUCAAACAGCCACACCCAGGGCCACCUCCACUCUGGUCAACAGGUGUCACACAACGAUAAUGAUGACCUUCAACCAAACUGAAGAUACAAACCUGGAAAGCAAACACGCGCAGACACAUAACUCUCACAAAAGGCGCCGAACAAACAGCCAAAUGUGAAAAUGGAGCAGCAGACAGGAAAGCAAGUCUACCAAGCCCCAGAGACGCCCUGGACCCUUCUAUGGUCUCCGAAGCCCGUUCUUAGCUCGCCUGCUCCCCUCACACACCCCACGUCUCGGAGUGCUUUUUCACAUUGGCACGUUGCUGGAGUACAGAGGUCAAGUUUUAGGGGGCUUCCAGCAGCUACAGGACCAGUUUCUCCUAGAGUCCACACCCAGCUCUCUGCACACAGCCAUGAACACACUGACACCUCGC
Molecule: long non-coding RNA, 489 nt
Organism: Manis pentadactyla (Chinese pangolin)
Lineage: Eukaryota; Metazoa; Chordata; Mammalia; Pholidota; Manidae
Exons: 2
Source: RefSeq, a predicted model, not a curated record